This 1121-nucleotide long non-coding RNA is filed under the name Linum usitatissimum (flax). RNAcentral's name for it is "long non-coding RNA (LUSI_LNC004486)". The record is from RNAcentral. Lineage: Eukaryota; Viridiplantae; Streptophyta; Magnoliopsida; Malpighiales; Linaceae.
GCACAUCUAUAUGAUAUUUUGAUGUUAGCGUUAUACAAGUAGUGAUGUCCUACUUGAAUAUUAUAAUACUGGUAUAUAUGUCCAUAUUACAUGUUCAUGUGACCACACAAAAAAAACCAAAUCCGACGAAUAAAAAAGUCCACAGCCUUGUAACCAAAACCAAAUCGGCUUCAUAUUCAUCUUCAUAUUUGUUUCAUUUAUGUAUUAAAAGGACUUAAAUUUUAUUAAAAAGGCUCGAUUCAUAAAGAGUGAACAAAAUCGACAAGAACAAACUGUAGGGAGUGGCAAAAAAACAAGACAAUAAGCAAAAGGAAGAGAGGGUAAAGCCCCACUGCCACCACGACAGCUUCUCAUUGCCAUCUUCUUUGACGAUAACUUCAUCUUACCUCCGCCAAUAGGUACUAGAUCUAGAUGUCUUUCAUUUUUCUUUAGAUCUCCAUUGCCGCAGAACCUACAUCUUCAUCGUGAGGCUCGAAUCAUUUUCCUCUUUUGAUUUUUUGGACGAUUGAUACGAGAUCUGAAACAAAAUUAGAUGUGAAAAGAAAAUCAUACAUAAUUUAGAUAUAGAUGUGCCAAGAAAUUCAAGGAAAGCUGGAGAAAGAUAAGAGCUCACCUCGGCUCGAAUUGCAAAGGCAGAAGUAAGUCAACCAUGCUCGCGGUGGAAGCUUUCGGAGGAGUUCCAAUGGAUUCAUUAUCGAAGGAGGUCAUGAACUUAUUCGAAAAAAGAAGAGGUCAUGAAAGAAAUUUAAACAGAGCCGUCGAAGCCUUCCACCCAACGCACAUAUCGAUCUUUGAUGGCCGAGUCAAUCGUUGCCGCCGCAAGAUUUGGCGAGAAAAAGAGAGGAGAGAAAUGAGAGAAAAAUAGAGGGAGAGAGGAUGAAAUGAAUAAAUAAGGGAAAUAGAUGAAUAUUAAAGAGGACUACUAUUUGACGCCCUACCUUUCGAAUUAUAUGACGCCCUAAACUUCGUAACAAUAAAACUAUCCAAAUUUACUCAUUCGAAAAACUUUGUAUCGACGAAACUAACGUUCCUGUAAUAAUGUUUUCAGAUAAUCACAUUCUUCACACGGGAUUAACGUUCCUUGAUUGCGCUGACUCGCCAUGAGUAAUUCGGUAAGCGAU